CGAAAUAAAUUUCAGUAUAAAAGAUUAUGUGAUGAGCUACUCCUCUUCACAGAAAAAAAAAAAUGAACAUCUUCAACAAGAAAUCAAUAUUGAUUCUCUUUGCUAUCACUCUUCUUAUCUGUUCUUCGUAUGCCGAUGAUCACAUUCCUGAACCUGAGUUACGAGAUUCUAAGGGCUUCUCCCAAAUCGCUCAACGCCUAGGAUACCUGGCAAAGACAAAAGUGCCUUAUGAUAAGAUUAAUAAGUAUAAAGUUAAGAUAGGGAUCAAAACUUUUAAAGCAGGUUACGAAAUCGCCGGCUUUGCGUGUGUAAAGUCGUGCAAUGCAGCACCUAACCCUUCUUGCAGUAAACCAUACUGUAUUUAUGGAUAUGUUAAAAGCUUGGGUAAGAGUUAUUGUAGAAAGACCUGCACCAAACCAGUUGAAAAUUGCACUUACACCUUGGCAGGGCCAGGACGUGGUACCUAUACAUGUGCUAAGUAAAACAACACCUUACUAGUGUUUUAUAUUGGGUUACAUUUGUUAGUUGUGCUAAACAACUUUUAACGAAUGAUUCCCACAUUAAAACAAAUGAUUGAUCUCAGUUAUAUUUUGCCUCCUAUGUAUUGUAUUGUACCGUAUUGUGUUGUGCGGUAUUGUUUGUUAUUGUAUUGUAUAUCGAACAUCCAUCCAAGUCUACUAAUCAUGGUGGUGUAGUUCCUUGUUAAGCUACAGUUGAAUAAGGAUUACUAUUUUACUUUUGUUUAA
This is a long non-coding RNA of Helianthus annuus (common sunflower), 746 nucleotides long. RefSeq lists it as uncharacterized. The transcript is spliced from 2 exons. Lineage: Eukaryota; Viridiplantae; Streptophyta; Magnoliopsida; Asterales; Asteraceae. The record is from RefSeq and is a predicted model, not a curated record.